RNAcentral lists this transfer RNA (73 nucleotides) under Sus scrofa (pig). It matches the Rfam family "tRNA". Rfam says of the family: Transfer RNA (tRNA) molecules are approximately 80 nucleotides in length. Their secondary structure includes four short double-helical elements and three loops (D, anti-codon, and T loops). The record is from Rfam by way of RNAcentral. Lineage: Eukaryota; Metazoa; Chordata; Mammalia; Artiodactyla; Suidae.
UCCCUGGUGGCCUAGCAGGUAAGGAUCUGGCAUUGGCACUGCUAUGGCUCGGGUUCAAUCCCUGGCCCAGGAA